AACGAACGCUGGCGGCAGGCUUAACACAUGCAAGUCGAGCGCUGUAGCAAUACAGAGCGGCAGACGGGUGAGUAACGCGUGGGAAUCUACCCAUCUCUACGGAAUAACUCAGGGAAACUUGUGCUAAUACCGUAUACGCCCUUAGGGGGAAAGAUUUAUCGGAGAUGGAUGAGCCCGCGUUGGAUUAGCUAGUUGGUGGGUAAAGGCCUACCAAGGCGACGAUCCAUAGCUGGUCUGAGAGGAUGAUCAGCCACAUUGGGACUGAGACACGGCCCAAACUCCUACGGGAGGCAGCA
This 296-nucleotide ribosomal RNA is filed under the name uncultured bacterium. RNAcentral's name for it is "partial 16S ribosomal RNA". It matches the Rfam family "Bacterial small subunit ribosomal RNA", at positions 29 to 353 of the family's 1533-position model. The record is from RNAcentral.